RNAcentral lists this transfer RNA (73 nucleotides) under Hoyosella rhizosphaerae. RNAcentral describes it as "tRNA-Gln". It matches the Rfam family "tRNA". From Rfam's summary of the family: Transfer RNA (tRNA) molecules are approximately 80 nucleotides in length. Their secondary structure includes four short double-helical elements and three loops (D, anti-codon, and T loops). The record is from RNAcentral. Lineage: Bacteria; Bacillati; Actinomycetota; Actinomycetes; Mycobacteriales; Hoyosellaceae.
UCCGCCGUGGUGUAAUAGGCAGCACUUCUGAUUUUGGUUCAGACAGUUCAGGUUCGAGUCCUGGCGGCGGAGC